This 6717-nucleotide small RNA is filed under the name Rattus norvegicus (Norway rat). RNAcentral describes it as "uncharacterized LOC102551724". The record is from RNAcentral. Lineage: Eukaryota; Metazoa; Chordata; Mammalia; Rodentia; Muridae.
UGUGUGUGUGUGUACAUAUACAUAUAGAGUACACACACAUAUUACAGUAACAUUUUAACCUGCUGGAAAUCAAUACAUAAAAGGUAUGUACAAAGGAGAAGGAAAAGAAUUUAGGGACUCUCUGCUUCUGAUCAUAACUGAUUCCAUUGCUAAACUUUAUUAAAAAAUAUCUGAGUAUCCCAUCCAUUCUUAUCAGACCUUGAGAGGCCCAGUGACACAGGCAGCUUUGGUCAGCGUUGUGGCUAGACUGAACAACUAUACAGAAUUCUGGAAACUGAAGUCUUUUGGAAAGAAAGACAAAGCAAUUGCCUGCCUACCUAGUUUGUGGAGGCCGUAUUCAUUCUCUUUCAACCAUAAGACCCCAAAAUGCACAUCAAAUUUCACUGUAAUGUGUAUGACUCAUGUGUUCCUGAAUGAAUUCAAGCCUCAGUCCCACACAUAGACCCAGUGUGAGAGAGUCUGGCCUGGCUCCUCUUGCAAAGCUUGUGCUCAGGAGCCUCUGACUAUGACUUGAGCAUGUAGCUGGUAAUAGCUCUUGAGACUAGACAACCGGGACUCCUCAAACAGCAUGGUGUGUAUGUCAGGGAGUGAUGUAGCCUGGGCCAGUUUCCUGCCCUUCUGGAGUUAUUAUUAUAGAUGUUCCAUUUUAACUAUCUGCAGAAGAAUUCUUCAGAGGCUGUGGAGAUGGCUCAGUGGUAAAGUGUUUGACACACAAGCACAAGAAAUGUGAGUUCUGAUUCUCAGAACCCAAUAAAGCUGAAUGCUGCAGAGCAGGUAUGUAAUCCCAAUGCCCUUCCAGCAGGAUGAAGGGCAGCCCGGAGAGUCUCCAGGGUGGGAUAGCCUGGCUCGUGCAUCAGCAAACAUCACGUUACCCUGCCUCAAGGUGCAACGUGAAGACUGACACCGAGGUUGUCCUUUAAACUCACACACACACACACACACACACACACACACACACACACACACACACUGUAGCACACAACUGUCUACUCAUACCUAAACAUGCAUGCACCCACAGAACAUUUUUAAAAUCCUUCUUUUUAGGGCUAUCUUGUUAUUAGUAGUAUCUGAAUUUUUUAAAAUUAAUUACAUAAUUUCUCCCUUCUCUUUUUCCCCUCUAAGCUGUCCCGUCUACCCCUCCUAGCCAGCUCUCUUUCAAACUCAUGGCUUCUCUUUUUUAAAUUGUUGUUGCACACAGUGUGCGCACAUGUGUAUGUCUCCACGUGUGCACAUGCAUACUUCUAAACAUGUAAAUGUGAGCACAGCUUGCUCGGUCUGAGUGAUGUUAUUUCUGUGGACACGUGUUCAGAGCUGACCGCUGGCUGGUGGAUACUCAGUUAUUGCGCUCGUCCCCACUUCUCCAGCUCUCAGCUUUUCUUGGUUGCUUGCAGCUCCUUGUCUACAGCUGAGGGCGCAUAAGUGUUCCCCUGUCCACCGUGUUGCCCUUGUCCAGGUCGUGCUUAGGUAGCCAUGUUGAUGAGCAAUUUCAUGAGUGUAGCUUCUGCCAUUUUUAGGAGACACAAUUCCACAGCGAAUUCUGUCCCUCUGACUCUUGGAAUCGUUCUGCCGCUCUUCUGAAAUGGUCCCUUAUAUGUGAGAGUUGUGUUGUGGGUGUAAUUGUUGCAAUUGUCUACAACUCUGCUUUUUGCUUGUGCUAUUAUUAUUUUUGACCACACUUGGCAUUGAACCUAGGCCUUUGCACAUACUAAUCAAAUCUUCUAACAAUUGAGUUGUCUUCUCAGCCUGCCCAUUCUAACUCCAGUAUAGAGCCUCAAUCUGGUAUCUGGGUCUCUGGGGCAGAUUUCUCCACUGAUCUCUGACCAAGGUUUCCUUUAACUCUGCUCUAUGAGCCCCGGGCUGAUGUCUGAAAGUUGACAGCUGUCUACAGACUUCCUGACUACUAGACUGAUGUCCUUCUUCACUCCUGUGAUGGUGUCCUGACCCUUUGGAUUCAGGGUGGAGUUAAUACAGGAAAUUGGUUACCAAGAAACUCAAAGGUUGAAGGAAAGCAAGACACAACAAAGAAAAGACAGAUCACCCAUGGCUGAGAGCAGUGACCUCACCAGAGUCUGGGGGACAGAAGGGAGUUGCCCGAGCUGCCAAAGCCCAAGAAAUCAGAGCCUUAAAGGACACUCGAAGAACAUUAAAAUGCUGUGACCACUUCUAAGCAGAGACUACGGUGCCUGGCAGAGUUCUUAGAAUUUAGUGGAUUUUCAACAUAGGCUUAUAUUUAACGAAUUAAUAAUGAAAGGCUUGAUUCUUCUGACAUCUUCCUUUAUGGUAAAGACAGUGAAUGGAAAAUCAGAGCUGAAGAAGAGGAGAUGCUUUUCAACGGACCUCUCAUUUGAAGUCCAGUGAGCACACAAUCAAGCGUUGGUCUUGCCAUCUCCGUUUCCGAGACUUGCCAGGUAUUUCCUGGGCUGUCAGCUGUUAGCUGGAGUGUGUGCAGGUGGGUGCUUAGCAAGCAUUUCUCGUCCUUUCUCUUAGUUCCAACGUUUGUUUAUGUUUCCUUAUCUCUUUCAUCCAAGGUGAACCUGAACUGAGAGGCAGCAUUUAUAAAAGAGCUGCCAGCUUGCACACAGGAAUUCUCUCACAUUCGUGCUUGCCUGGUUUUCUUCACCCAAAGCACAAAGACGUGCUGUUGAACACGCGUUGUUCUUUUCUCCUUGAAUACUAGAAAGAGAGGAUUCUUGGAUAUUUACCCAAAGUUUUGUCGCACUGAGAAGACUCUGUGGAGGAGACACGGCAGGGAAGCAGUUCUGGCGUAAAGAAGUAAAAAGGUUUCCCUCUUAGCUUUAUAAUAAGUAACUUCCUUACCCCUGUCUGGAAGCUUGUACACUGUAGACAAAAAGCUGCAAAGAACAAAAGGCGACCAGUUCACUCAAUGGAGUUCUCUGUACAGGUCAAGGAAAUGCCAAACUUAACAGAUGUCUUUGACUGUGCCCUGCAGGUCGAUAAAUCCGUUUUUGUUGAACCAGGAAGAGGAAGGAAUUUCAGAACUUCAGGUCCCCAAAUGGAAAUGCCCCUUAGGACAAGUCUAAACUAGGGAAAUAGCACUGGAGAGCCUCCAAGUCAGUUGGCCCAGUCUCCUGUAACUCAUUUCUGGGCCCCCUGAAGCUGUUUGUUUAACUCUGCCUCUACAAUUGCUGUUGUGUCAAAGGGAGUUAAUCAUUAGCAAGUGUGAACACUGUUGGUAGAAAACACAGCGAUUGCAGUUCUCCAUUCUGACAUAAUUUUAACUAUUUUUCAGAAUUAAGAGAAAAGGAACACUGGGUGAAAGUAGGGUAGAAUUUGGGGAGCUGUUAAUUCACUUUCCAGCUUUGACAAUUGCCAUGGAGAGAGUCAUGUAGUUUUCUGCACAUGAUGCUCCCUUGCCCACUGCCUCAGGGUAGUUUCUUCCCUCCAUGGUCAGUUUAGGGUGGCUAAUCUCCAGAAAUCUAGAUGUCAGAAAAUGAUCUGAAGGUUCAGGUAUAGGGACCUCUGCACUGUCAGAGCCACCAAUGAUACUGGAGCAAUAAUACAGACUGAGUUAGGGCACAGAGCUCCAUAGCCUUCCUGGGCUAAUAAUCCUCCCAGGCUAAUAGUCCUCUCGGGCUGGGAAUCACAACUCUUCUAUGAAUCACACCACAGGAGCCCUGGGAUUGGGGUUGGUGCAUAAAGUAACAUUCCAGCAGCUGCAGAAGAAUAAAUACAUGAGCUGCCAGGAAUUCAGCAGCCAUCCAGGGCUGCUGCCCCAGGCUCAGAAUCCCACUACUUGACAGGCUGAGGCAAGAAGGCUGCAAGUUUAGCAUCAAUCUUGACACAUCCAGACCAUGUCUCAAAAAUUUUAAAAAGUGAAAUGAAAAUGUUGGAGAGGUUGGGGAAGCUGCAGCUGUAGCUCGGUGGUAGCAUAUCUGACUGGCAUGCAGGAAGUCCUGUGUUCAAUCCCCCGAAGCACAUACCGCAUGCAUACACACAAAGACGUAUGCAUGCUCGCACGCGCACAGGCACGGACGCAUGCACGUGUACGCUCUCCUAGAGUUAUUCAAAUGGUCUCUAGUUUGAGAAUCUCAAGGAGACACCUAAACACGUUCUCGACAGUAGCAGCCACAGCCAAGACUCCGAAGAGCCUCUGAAAACCAGUACACAUUACCACAAGACUUUGGAAAUUGUCCCAUGGAUGGACAUAGACAAACCUCACUGCUUCUGGACCGCAGCUCUUCCAAUGAUGCCCUCUCCAGCUCACUCACUGCUGCUCCUCAUCUCCUUGGGCAACUUUUACAAGUGAAGGCAGAGACACCAAAGCCCAUGUCCUAAGGUCUCCAAUUCUCUCUCUCUUCCCUUUGUAAUUCCUCCCUCAGACUCCUUUUGUUAAUAUUUAUGUUCUCAGGCUUAGUCUAGAGAUACUCUCUACUUUAAAAUGAAAAUGGAGGGGUGUAGCUCAGAGGUUGAAAACAGACCCUCAUAUUGACCCUGAUACUCCCCGCUCUGCGAGGCCUGUGUGUGGCCUGGCGAUGCAUCCAGCCCGGUCCUCCAGGUGGCCUGUGCUCUGCCUCCAAAGACUGCAUCCAUGACUCAGCUCCAGAGGCUCUGCAGACCACAGCACAGUUUCGUGUGUCACAGACCUGCACACCUUUUGGCUCCUCUACAGGGUUUUCUGUCUGGGGCACCCUUUACUCAAUGGCAAGGUUUCCAUUCUCUUUGGCUGUCCUUGGGAUACUGGUCAUUUAUUCUCACUCUCCACGUCUUCUCCUCUACCCCGCAAUUUUGAAUGAAAUGAUUCUCUUCUGGACUCCAAAGGCGCCUGCCUGUUGUGUAGUGAAGGAUUUAGCCAGCUGUAUCGGGAGCGCGUGCUCAUCCUAGAUCCUUUCAUAGAAUAUGUGUCUCAGUGCAGGCAGAGCCCACGUUAUUUCAUUCCAGUGUCCCUGAUCUUUAGCACAUUAAUAAUGAGUCAUAUAGUAGCUUGUUAAAGUGCCCAGAGCGGGUGGGCUAGGCAAGUUCUAAUGUCUGUGUUUGUGUAAAUAACUUGAUUUUAAAUGCCUGGUUAGGUGUGGUGGUUUGAAUGAGAUGUCCCCAACAAGCCACCAGCUUUGAAUACUUGGUCCAGAGUUGGUUGCUGUCUUGGAGAGGGUGAGAAGGUGUGAUCUUAAUAAAGGAAGUGUAUCACUGGGGGUGGGCUUUGAGAUUUUGAAGACCCACAUACCAUCUCUACUGAGAACUCCCGAUUUCCUUUUUGUGGUUGGGAAUGCGGGCUCUCAGCUGAUGCUGCAGCUGCCUCCUGCACACAUAGUGCACUUACAGAAUCAGGAGAGAAUGCCUCAGGACUGGCAGUGUGGUUACAGUCACUUCGCAGGAAGAACGACAUACAGACACCUAGAACUGAAUGUAUUAUUGACUUCAUUGUAUUUUCCUGGGUGUCAGUCUCCACUUGAAAUCAUUGCUCUUUAGGGAGAAGGGAUAUUUUGUUUUGAAGAUUAGUUGGAGUGAAAGAAGAGGAGAGAUGGGUGAAAUGAUGAGAAGAAAAGAACAAGUACCUAUGACAUUGAACAAGAACAUUAUAAACCAGACCUGAUGACACAGAAAUAAGUCAUAGGGGAUGCUCCCCCUAUCAUGAAAUUGAUUUGUGCUUUUAGUAUUGUGGAGCAAAGAGACAGCUGAGGUUUACUCUGAAAUCAAUUUAUUAUUAUUAGCUUUUAAUUCUGGAGAAAUUUGGUAAUGGAAGGAUUUCUCUUCUUACACUUGAAGAGGAUAUUUGAGAGCCUUUUUAUGAGUAUCUCUUAAUAGGGUGCCAUCACUUGGGUCAGGAGGAAGAGAAACAAAUGUCCCCACUGGCCUUUCCUUUUAUGGAAACAGGCAUGUGUGGCUCAUUUCAACAUGUCAGUUGUACAUCUGGUAGCUCUAGAAGCUGAAUUCCAUGUCUAAUUCCUGGGAGAACACUGGGAAGGAGCAAUGAAAUGGAGAGACUAACUUCCAAGCACAGGUUUCAAAGAAGCAGUGCACACUGGGAAGUUGAAAUUGUUCAUUUACAGAAGGCACAGCAAGGUGGCCUGCAAAUGUAAGUGCUCCUCUGCAUUGUGUCUCUUUAAGAGAGUUAUUUUAUUCUGUGUAUAUGUGCCUGCAUGAGCUUAUAUGUAUCACAUGCUUUUGGGUGCUGCAGAAGCUAGGUGAGGAUUAUAGAGACUCUAGAGCUGUAGUUAAUCGAGGAUUGCGAGCUGUCCAGUGUGGGUGCUGGGAACCAGUCCCUGGUCCUAUACAAGAGCAGUGGGUGCUUGUAGCCACUGUGCUAUCCUGCCUCUGUUUUUGUUUUUGUUGUUUUUUGUUUGUUUGUUUGUUUGUUUGAGGCGGAGUUUCUUUGUAUAACCCAGGCUGGCCUUGAUUGAACUCCUGGUGAUUCUCCUUCCUCAAUCUCCUCCUGAGUUCCAGUAUUAAAGGCAUUAUCAUAGUUGGGCUUUUUUUUUUUUUUUUUUUUUUAAGGUUUACUAGAUGAUACCACUAAGAACAAGAUGAGAACACAUGGGUCUGGAUAGUCAAAUAAAGGUUGUAGAUCUACAUUUUUGAGGGAAGCUUACUGAUCUAGGCUUGAAGAGGGGUGUGGUGGUUUGAAUAUGCUUGGCCCAGGCAUUGGCACUAUUAGGAAGUGUGACUUUAUUGAAGGAAGUGUGUCACCGAGAGGGUGGGCUUUUAAACCCUCCUCCUGGCUUCCUGGAUGACAGCUUCCGCUAUGGAACAAGAUGUAGA